GUAAAUGACUCGGGGUGCCGUUUCUUUCCAAAGAAAGGGCUGAGAAAAACCCGUCGAACCUGAACUGGAUAAUGCCAGCGGAGGGAAGUCAGAUGCCUGACCG
This 103-nucleotide non-coding RNA is filed under the name Erwinia billingiae. RNAcentral describes it as "TPP sequence". It matches the Rfam family "TPP riboswitch aptamer (THI element)". From Rfam's summary of the family: Vitamin B(1) in its active form thiamin pyrophosphate (TPP) is an essential coenzyme that is synthesised by coupling of pyrimidine and thiazole moieties in bacteria. The previously detected thiamin-regulatory element, thi box was extended, resulting in a new, highly conserved RNA secondary structure, the THI element, which is widely distributed in eubacteria and also occurs in some archaea. Lineage: Bacteria; Pseudomonadati; Pseudomonadota; Gammaproteobacteria; Enterobacterales; Erwiniaceae. The record is from Rfam by way of RNAcentral.